UUUACAUCUGUAGUUUAUAGGAUGAGCACCUCCGAAGGAGGUUUGAGCCGAGCGCAGCGAGACAACGUUGCUUUAGCAACGGCCCGCAGGGCAGCAUCGUAGAUGCGUUAAUCCUCUCUCGUCGAUCA
RNAcentral lists this small RNA (128 nucleotides) under Serratia proteamaculans. RNAcentral describes it as "RtT sRNA". It matches the Rfam family "RtT RNA". Rfam says of the family: This family represents a bacterial cis-regulatory element known as RtT RNA. Lineage: Bacteria; Pseudomonadati; Pseudomonadota; Gammaproteobacteria; Enterobacterales; Yersiniaceae. The record is from RNAcentral.